CCGUAGGUGAACCUGCGGAGGGAUCAUUACACAAAUAUGAAGGCGGGCUGGAACCUCUCGGGGUUACAGCCUUGCUGAAUUAUUCACCCUUGUCUUUUGCGUACUUCUUGUUUCCUUGGUGGGUUCGCCCACCACUAGGACAAACAUAAACCUUUUGUAAUUGCAAUCAGCGUCAGUAACAAAUUAAUAAUUACAACUUUCAACAACGGAUCUCUUGGUUCUGGCAUCGAUGAAGAACGCAGCGAAAUGCGAUAAGUAGUGUGAAUUGCAGAAUUCAGUGAAUCAUCGAAUCUUUGAACGCACAUUGCGCCCUUUGGUAUUCCAAAGGGCAUGCCUGUUCGAGCGUCAUUUGUACCCUCAAGCUUUGCUUGGUGUUGGGCGUCUUGUCUCUAGCUUUGCUGGAGACUCGCCUUAAAGUAAUUGGCAGCCGGCCUACUGGUUUCGGAGCGCAGCACAAGUCGCACUCUCUAUCAGCAAAGGUCUAGCAUCCAUUAAGCCUUUUUUUCAACUUUUGACCUCGGAUCAGGUAGGGAUACCCGCUGAACUUAAGCAUAUCAAUAACCGGAGG
This 568-nucleotide ribosomal RNA is filed under the name Alternaria eichhorniae. RNAcentral's name for it is "eukaryotic LSU rRNA". The stretch from base 195 to 348 matches the Rfam family "5.8S ribosomal RNA". The record is from RNAcentral. Lineage: Eukaryota; Fungi; Ascomycota; Dothideomycetes; Pleosporales; Pleosporaceae.